AUGCCCGGCACCACCUCCCCCGCCGGGAACUUCUCCUCCGCGCCGCGAGCCACCGUGUGGCCACCACCUCAAUCCACUGACGUCGACGACGAUGCGUGCGGCGGGUGGUGCAGCAGCUGCUCCUUGCCUCCUCCCAUCCUCUCCUUCCUCCAGACAGCGCCUCCUCCUCCCCCUUGCACGCCCGCGCGUGCUGCAUCGGCGACCCCGCGGUCAACAGUCGUCGGCCAGGGAACGCCGCCGCCAUCUGGGCCCUGCUGCCACCACCCUCACGGGCGUCCCUUCGAGCUGGAGCUCGUGGUCAGUGGCAAGAAGCAGCAACCGCGGCUGCAAGCAGCAGCACCACGUCCAGCUUCCCUCUCGCCUCCGGCGACAACCGCCGGAAAGCCGGAGCUCCGCAGCACCCUCUUCCCCUUUUGCUGGACCGGGACAACGAGGCUCCCGCCCGCCAUGAGGCUCGACCGCAGUGCGCGAGCAGCUCCUGGAGCACGAGCACCACGACGAGCAGCUCCUGCAGCGCGUGCACCACGUCGAUUAGCUCGCCGGCAGGGACCCGAUUGCUUUUUAUACUUUUUUGCAGGACCCGAUUGCUUUUUUAAUAAAAUUACAGGGACCUGA
This 615-nucleotide ribosomal RNA is filed under the name Triticum aestivum (bread wheat). RNAcentral describes it as "partial small subunit ribosomal RNA". Lineage: Eukaryota; Viridiplantae; Streptophyta; Magnoliopsida; Poales; Poaceae. The record is from RNAcentral.